This 115-nucleotide ribosomal RNA is filed under the name Fibrobacter sp. UWEL. The record is from RNAcentral. Lineage: Bacteria; Pseudomonadati; Fibrobacterota; Fibrobacteria; Fibrobacterales; Fibrobacteraceae.
UUCAGCGGUUAUUGAGCAGGGGUCACACCCGUUCCCAUUCCGAACACGGCAGUUAAGCCCUGCAUCGCCGAUGGUACCUGGCCUACGGGUCCGGGAGAGUAGGUCGCCGCUGGAU